Molecule: ribosomal RNA, 301 nt
Filed under: uncultured bacterium
Lineage: Bacteria
Description: partial 16S ribosomal RNA
Rfam family: Bacterial small subunit ribosomal RNA
Source: RNAcentral
CAGUCGCCACGGUAAUACGAAGGUCCCGAGCGUUGUUCGGAAUCACUGGGCGUAAAGGGAGCGUAGGCGGCGCGGUAAGUCAGAUGUGAAAUCCCGGGGCUCAACCCCGGAACUGCAUCCGAUACUGCCGUGCUAGAGGACUGGAGAGGCAACUGGAAUUCUCGGUGUAGCAGUGAAAUGCGUGGAUAUCGAGAGGAACACUCGUGGCGAAAGCGAGUUGCUGGACAGUAUCUGACGCUGAGGCUCGAAGGCCAGGGUAGCGAAAGGGAUUAGAGACCCCAGUAGUCCCUGUCUCUUAUAU